ACGCUCGACACCUACGGGAGGCAGCAGUGGGGGAUAUUGCACAAUGGGGGAAACCCUGAUGCAGCAACGCCGCGUGAGGGAAGAAGGUUUUCGGAUUGUAAACCUCUGUUCUUAGUGACGAUAAUGACGGUAGCUAAGGAGAAAGCUCCGGCUAACUACGUGCCAACAGCCGCGGUAAUCUGAGGCGGGCUGGCAAGGC
RNAcentral lists this ribosomal RNA (199 nucleotides) under uncultured bacterium. Its description in RNAcentral is "partial 16S ribosomal RNA". It matches the Rfam family "Bacterial small subunit ribosomal RNA", at positions 328 to 539 of the family's 1533-position model. The record is from RNAcentral.